GGGCCCGCACAAGCGGUGGAGCAUGUGGUUUAAUUCGAUGAUACGCGAGGAACCUUACCAGGGCUUAAAUGCAGAACGACAGAGGUGGAAACACCUCCUUCUUCGGACGGUCUGCAAGGUGCUGCAUGGUUGUCGUCAGCUCGUGCUGUGAAGUGUCGGGUUAAGUCCCAUAACGAGCGCAACCCCUAUUUCUAGUUGCCAGCGAGUAAUGUCGGGAACUCUAACGAAACUGCCAGUGCAAACUGUGAGGAAGGUGGGAUGACGUCAAUCAUCACGGCCCUUACGUCCUGGGCUACACACGUGCUACAAUGGCCGGUACAGAGAGCAGCAAGUUCGCGAGGACAAGCAAUCCAUAAACCGUGGCUCAG
Molecule: ribosomal RNA, 368 nt
Filed under: uncultured bacterium
Lineage: Bacteria
Description: bacterial SSU rRNA
Rfam family: Bacterial small subunit ribosomal RNA
Source: RNAcentral